RNAcentral lists this transfer RNA (65 nucleotides) under Triticum aestivum (bread wheat). It matches the Rfam family "tRNA". From Rfam's summary of the family: Transfer RNA (tRNA) molecules are approximately 80 nucleotides in length. Their secondary structure includes four short double-helical elements and three loops (D, anti-codon, and T loops). The record is from Rfam by way of RNAcentral. RNAcentral also lists the same sequence under 1 other name. Lineage: Eukaryota; Viridiplantae; Streptophyta; Magnoliopsida; Poales; Poaceae.
CACUACUCAGUUGGUAGAGCACAAGGCUCUUAACCUUGUGGACGUGGGUUCAAGCUCCAUGGUGA